RNAcentral lists this ribosomal RNA (220 nucleotides) under Glomeromycotina sp. RNAcentral describes it as "partial small subunit ribosomal RNA". The stretch from base 48 to 220 matches the Rfam family "Eukaryotic small subunit ribosomal RNA", at positions 693 to 864 of the family's 1831-position model. Lineage: Eukaryota; Fungi; Glomeromycota. The record is from RNAcentral.
GAAUCUGUCCGUCGGUCGGGCUUCACGGUCCGUACUGGUGUGAUGGGUUUCUACCUUCUGAAUAGCCGGCAUGUCAUUAAUUUGGUGCGCCGGUGAAGCAGAACUAUUACCUUGAAAAAAUUAGAGUGUUUAAAGCAGGCAUUUUUGCUUGAAUACAUUAGCAUGGAAUAAUAAAAUAGGACGGCAUGGUUCUAUUUUGUUGGUUUCUAGGAUCACCGUA